Molecule: ribosomal RNA, 494 nt
Filed under: uncultured bacterium
Lineage: Bacteria
Description: partial 16S ribosomal RNA
Rfam family: Bacterial small subunit ribosomal RNA
Source: RNAcentral
GACGAACGCUGGCGGCGUGCUUAACACAUGCAAGUCGAACGGUGAAGCGCCUUCCUUUUUGGUGGGUGUGGAUGAGUGGCGAACUGGUGAGUAACGCGUGAGUAACCUGCCCCCUUCUUCUGGAUAACCGCAUGAAAGUGUGGCUAAUACGGGAUAUUCUGGGUCUGUCGCAUGAUGGGUCUGGGAAAGAUAUUGUUUCGGUGGGGGAUGGGCUCGCGGCCUAUCAGCUUGUUGGUGGGGUGAUGGCCUACCAAGGCGGUGACGGGUAGCCGGCCUGAGAGGGUGGACGGUCACACUGGGACUGAGACACGGCCCAGACUCCUACGGGAGGCAGCAGUGGGGAAUAUUGCACAAUGGGCGCAAGCCUGAUGCAGCGACGCCGCGUGAGGGAUGGAGGCCUUCGGGUUGUGAACCUCUUUCGCCAGUGAAGCAGGCCUGCCUCGUUUGUGGGUGGGUUGACGGUAGCUGGAUAAGAAGCGCCGGCUAACUACGUG